CUGCGUUGGCAGCAUGGAUGCUAACGAUGGAACGACACAGAGAAGAUGAACAUGGCCCCUGCACAAGGAUGAUGUGCAAAUCCGUGAAGUGUUCCAUAUUUUC
Molecule: small nuclear RNA, 103 nt
Organism: Pteronotus mesoamericanus
Lineage: Eukaryota; Metazoa; Chordata; Mammalia; Chiroptera; Mormoopidae
Source: RefSeq, a predicted model, not a curated record